This 112-nucleotide transfer RNA is filed under the name Planctomycetaceae bacterium. Its description in RNAcentral is "tRNA-OTHER". Lineage: Bacteria; Pseudomonadati; Planctomycetota; Planctomycetia; Planctomycetales; Planctomycetaceae. The record is from RNAcentral.
GGAGACGUUUUUAGUAAUCUGUUUCACUUCAAUGGGUUCGGGAGUUUGAUUGCUGGUUUCGAAAACCAGUGUGGGUUCACGCUCACCGGGGGUUCGAAUCCCCCCCUCUCCG